UAAGGGAUGUACUAGGCCAUAUAGAACCCACAAACGUAGAUAUUUUGUUUCACUGGCUUUUUCCACCUCUUCAGGCUAAACACUGAAGGCAUUGUAGUUCUACUUCAAAACGUGAAUGCACUGGGAAAGUUAAUACUGCCUGUUCUGUUUUGUUGUAGCACUGAUGCAGAGAGAUCUUCCCAGUCUUGUCCCUCAUCACCAUGGCUGCUCUUUCACGCUGUCAGCCCAUCACCUGAGCACUGGCUUCAGCCAGCAGUCCAUGUUUUUUCUUAGGAUUAACAAAACCACCAUCUUGGACUAGAUAAGUGAUGAUUUCUGAGAAAGGUUUCCUUCUGCUUCAGUUGACCUACUCAGGACACCCAAAUGCCACUGCAGAUCAAAUGUCAUUGGGUUCAGCGUCUGCCAGAGUUGAGAUUUUGCGUAGCAGCUGUUAUUCUGAAGAAGCACGCUGCAGGGCCGUCCUAGCUCUCACCUGCUAGCAAUCAGAUGGGUCCAACAUACCCUCGCACCAUGGAAAAGCCUUCCCCAGGUCCCUGUGCCAAGCUGAUGUUAGGACAGAAUAGCAUAAAAUAGGUUAUUCAGCUGGUGAGGGAGUAAGGCAGAGCUGCCUGGUAAAGCAGUUUUUCAGCCUUUUGUGCAGUGUAUCGGGAAUCAGGAUCUGGACGCUUCACCAUAAAUGAGCUGUUUACUAAACAUUUCCUGCAACUUUCAGUAAACAGAUUGGUUCAUCCUUUUACUUAUUAAGAUGCUCUUAUCCUUGCUAUAAAAACAUAUGUAAUCUGGAGAGAUUUCUGAGUGACAGAGUGGAUUUGUGAAAACAUCCGCAUAAUGUUUUUCCACUCGCUUUCAGCCCUGUUCUUGGAUUUGCUGGCUGAGACAAUGUUUGGAGUGAAGUCAUGUGAUCAAUCUGCAUUUUCGUGCAGUCUUCCUGAGCUGUUGCACCACUCUUUUUCAUGCUAGGUAUUCUGUUGAUCUAUAGAUCUCGGCUUUUUUUUUUUUUUUUUUUUUUUUUAAAGGCUAAUACAUCAAAAUUAUACAGUGUUAAGGAUUUCAGUCAGAGAUUAUGUCAGAAUUAGAACAUUCCCGAGUGAAGGUCAUAUAAAUCAAUCCUUCAGUUAUUCCAUUUUCAGUUUCAUUGUAAUGAACAGUACCCUGCUUGCAGUGAGAGGGCUUAUGGUGCUAGAAUACUGAUAAGAUGAUAUUGCAUUCAGAGUACAUUUUCUGCUAUUGGAUGAAAUCUGCAAUGCGAUAUAUGACAUCUGUACAAGGGUCUGUGUUGAAAUGCCUUGAAAUUGUCAAAUUAUAACAUUCUAGAGAUGAGCUUGCUUUGUAAAAUCAUUGAAUCACCUUUAUUGCGGAAAGAAUUUAAAUGAUCAAAGUAAUAACAAAGCUCUUGUAGUAGAAAUGUAAAAGGAAAACGUAUCACUCUUUCAGUGCUGGCAUAUUAAACAAGUUAAUGGUAUAUUGCUGUGCCUUCCUAAC
Anas platyrhynchos (mallard) is the source of this 1482-nucleotide non-coding RNA. The record is from RefSeq and is a predicted model, not a curated record. Lineage: Eukaryota; Metazoa; Chordata; Aves; Anseriformes; Anatidae.